Molecule: ribosomal RNA, 1333 nt
Filed under: uncultured marine bacterium
Lineage: Bacteria
Description: bacterial SSU rRNA
Rfam family: Bacterial small subunit ribosomal RNA
Source: RNAcentral
GAACGAACGCUGGCGGCAUGCUUAACACAUGCAAGUCGAACGAAGGCCCUAGCUUGCUAGGUGUCCUUAGUGGCGCACGGGUGAGUAACGCGUGGGAACCUGCCCAAGAGCGGGGAACAACCAUUGGAAACGAUGGCUAAUACCGCAUACGCCCUCCGGGGGAAAGGCUUCGGCCACUCAUGGAUGGUCCCGCGUCUGAUUAGCUUGUUGGUAAGGUAACGGCUUACCAAGGCGACGAUCAGUAGCUGGUCUGAGAGGAUGAUCAGCCACACUGGGACUGAGACACGGCCCAGACUCCUACGGGAGGCAGCAGUGGGGAAUAUUGGACAAUGGGGGAAACCCUGAUCCAGCAAUGCCGCGUGAGUGAAGAAGGCCUUAGGGUUGUAAAACUCUUUCAACUGUGAAGAUGAUGACGGUAGCAGUAGAAGAAGCUCCGGCUAACUCCGUGCCAGCAGCCGCGGUAAUACGGAGGGAGCUAGCGUUGUUCGGAAUUACUGGGCGUAAAGAGCACGUAGGUGGCGAAGAUAGUCAGUGGUGAAAGGCCUGGGCUCAACCCAGGAACUGCCAUUGAUACUGCUUUGCUAGAGUCCGGGAGAGGAUAGCGGAAUUUCCAGUGUAGAGGUGAAAUUCGUAGAUAUUGGAAAGAACACCAGUUGCGAAGGCGGCUAUCUGGACCGGUACUGACACUGAGGUGCGAAAGCGUGGGGAGCGAACAGGAUUAGAUACCCUGGUAGUCCACGCCGUAAACGAUGAGUGCUAGUUGUUGGGGUCUUAGACUUCAGUGACGUAGCUAACGCGUUAAGCACUCCGCCUGGGGAGUACGGCCGCAAGGUUAAAACUCAAAGGAAUUGACGGGGGCCCGCACAAGCGGUGGAGCAUGUGGUUUAAUUCGACGCAACGCGCAGAACCUUACCAGCCCUUGACAUACCAAUCGCGAUUUCCAGAGAUGGAUUUCUUCAGUUCGGCUGGAUUGGAUACAGGUGCUGCAUGGCUGCCGUCAGCUCGUGUCGUGAGAUGUUGGGUUAAGUCCCGCAACGAGCGCAACCCUCGCCCUUAGUUACCAUCAUUUAGUUGGGUACUCUAGGGGGACUGCCGGUGACAAGCCGGAGGAAGGUGGGGAUGACGUCAAGUCCUCAUGGCCCUUAUGGGCUGGGCUACACACGUGCUACAAUGGCAAUGACAGUGGGCAGCAACCUCGCGAGAGGAAGCUAAUCUCUAAAAAUUGUCUCAGUUCGGAUUGUUCUCUGCAACUCGAGAGCAUGAAGUCGGAAUCGCUAGUAAUCGCGUAUCAGCAUGACGCGGUGAAUACGUUCCCGGGCCUUGUACUCACCGC